Molecule: ribosomal RNA, 431 nt
Filed under: uncultured bacterium
Lineage: Bacteria
Description: partial 16S ribosomal RNA
Rfam family: Bacterial small subunit ribosomal RNA
Source: RNAcentral
AACGAACGCUGGCGGCAGGCCUAACACAUGCAAGUCGAGCGCCCUUUCGGGGGAGCGGCGGACGGGUGAGUAACGCGUGGGAAUAUGCCCUUCUCUACGGAAUAGCCUCGGGAAACUGAGAGUAAUACCGUAUACGCCCUGUGGGGGAAAGAUUUAUCGGGGAAGGAUUAGCCCGCGUUGGAUUAGGUAGUUGGUGGGGUAAUGGCCUACCAAGCCGACGAUCCAUAGCUGGUUUGAGAGGAUGAUCAGCCACACUGGGACUGAGACACGGCCCAGACUCCUACGGGAGGCAGCAGUGGAGAAUCUUAGACAAUGGGGGCAACCCUGAUCUAGCCAUGCCGCGUGAGUGAUGAAGGCCUUAGGGUUGUAAAGCUCUUUCAGCUGGGAAGAUAAUGACGGUACCAGCAGAAGAAGCCCCGGCUAACUCCGUG